This 95-nucleotide transfer RNA is filed under the name Desulfovermiculus sp. RNAcentral's name for it is "tRNA-Ser". It matches the Rfam family "tRNA". From Rfam's summary of the family: Transfer RNA (tRNA) molecules are approximately 80 nucleotides in length. The record is from RNAcentral. Lineage: Bacteria; Pseudomonadati; Thermodesulfobacteriota; Desulfovibrionia; Desulfovibrionales; Desulfohalobiaceae.
GGAGAGGUAGCGAAGUCCGGUCAUAACGCGCCCGACUCGAAAUCGGGUUGGCGGUUCGCCCCGCCACGUGGGUUCGAAUCCCACCCUCUCCGCCA